CUAGAACGAACCAUGAAAAACAGCCCCAGACCAUUAUUCCUCCUCCACCAAAUUUUACAGUUGGCACUAUGCACUUGGGCAGGUAAACUUCUCCUGGCAUCCGGCAAACCCAGAUUUGUCCGUCUGACUGCCAGAUGGUGAAUCGUCACUCCAGAGAACGUGUUUCCUCUGCUGCAGAGUCCAAUGGCGGCGAGCUUUACACCACUCCAACCGACACGUGGCAUUGCGCAUGGUGAUCUUAGGCUUGUCUGCGGCUGCUUGGCCAUGGAAACCCAUUUUAUUUUGCUCCCAACUAAGAGUUUCUGUGCUGACGUUGCUUCCAGAGGCAGUUUGGAACUCUGUAGUGAGUGUUGCAACCGAGGCCAGGCGAUUUUUACGAGCUACGCGCUUCAGCACUUGGUGGUCCCGUUCUGUGAGCUUGUGUGGCCUGCCACUUUGCUGCUGAGCCGUUGUUGCUCCUAGACGUUUCCACUUCACAAUAACAGCACUUACAGUUGACCAGGGCAGCUCUAACAGGGCUGAAAUUUGAUGAACUGACUUGUCGGAAUGGUGGCAUCCUAUGACUGUGCCACGUUGAAAGUCUGAGCUCUUCAGUACGGGCCAUUCUAUUGCCAAUGUUUGUCUAUGGAGAUUCCAUGGCUGUGUGCUCGAUUUUUCCUCCUCCUCCUCCUUCUUCCUCCUCCAUAGGUGCCUCAUUUUCCUCCUCCUCCUUAGGUGGAGUGUGUGUGUUAAAAAGAGACCCUCAAAUGAUAAACAAGCUCUGGUCAAAAAAGCUGACAUCACUCCUGCUGCAUCUCACUAACACAUGACUGACGCCACUCUACUGUCCCACAAAGGAGGGGGAGGAAAACAGAGGAGAACCUCUUAAGUUUCCAGUCCAGUACAGAACUACCACUGAUAUGAGAGAGGACACAAGGAAGUGAGAGCAGUAAAGCAGAAAGAGAAGAAUUCUCCAGAAAACGCUGUGUCUUGCUCUCGCCGAGAGAAGCUUAGACCAAACAUAGAUUCUAUAGGGACACUGUUUUUUAGCUCAGAUUGUAGAACUUGAAGCCUAUCAUGAUGGAAGUGAUCCUGACUAGACUGAGAGAUUUCUCCUCUAAGGACGCCACCUUUGAUGCCUGUAAGUCAGCCGGGCCCGUUGUGUCCAGGGACCCACAGACCACCAGAGACCCCUGCCUGGAGGAAGAGCUCCAGAUGGAGGGCUGCAUUCCCGGAGAAUAGGGCAGCUGCCCCUACAAACUGGACUUUGAAAGUGCACUGGCCUGGCUGCACAGGGAACUGAUGGAAAUGCAAUCUCAGGACCAGGCCUUGAUACAAAAGCUGAUGGACCUUCACACAGCAAUCCAAGAGCUCAAGCUUGAGAGUGCCGAGGAGGAGGAGGAGGAAGAAGAGGAGAAGGAGGAGUAGGAAGAAAAGGAAUAGGAGGAUGAGGAGACAGAGGUGGCUAGGAGCUGGGGCUUUGAGAGCGAGGCAGGGGGCAGUGGUAGUAGUGUUUACUCCAGCUCAGGGGAAGUGGGAUUUUCCAUAUCCUGCCUGUCCACUAGAAUGACACCAUCUGCUCUUGGGUCAUCUCUACCAAAAAGGACUUUCAGCAGAAGAAGCUCUGUGCCUUAAUAAAACCACAAAAAGUACUCUCUUAUGGACUGACCACAUAGUCAAUGUCAGGCAUAUACCACAAUAUCAUCUAUAUCAUCUAUGCGCAUGUGCGUGUGAGAGAAUAAUUCAAUGUCUGAGACUGCAGAGCUUAAGUAAGCUGUGUAAUUUUAAACUCUAACUAGAUGGAAGAAACAACAACAGCUGCUAUCACUGUACAAAGGUCAUAAAGGUAUCAUAGUACAUUUAAGAGAGAAUAACCAUUAUUUAUGGUAGCAUAUUGCCUGUAAUGUCUCAACAAUUUCAAUAUCAUGACUGCAUAUCAUUCCAAUAAGCUCUAAUACUCUUCCAUAUUACUUGAAAUGGUCUGUUGUUACUGAAAUUGUCACGUUUCCUUAAGGGCAGGGAGAAGGGGCAGAGUCAAGAGCAGGAGACUGAGGUCCAAUAGUGCCGAAGUUUAUUUCCACCGAAACAAAGGUGGUCAAAAGGCACAGGGUGCGCACAACACCCAAACGGAAAAGGUUAUCCAAAAAUGAUAACGCACGGGGCGCAGCCCGGCAAUAAAAAUAUAGAAUGCAGCAUGCUGAAAACACAAAACCGUGUACACAAAAUCACUACCCGUCGACAUACAAAUAAUCCCGCACGAAUACAGAACACAAAGGAACAAACUAAAUACCCCCUCCCACUAAUGGCAGACAAGAAACAGGUGCGGACCUAGACAGACAAAAACCAAAGAACACAGAAACAUAGAUCGGUGGCAGCUAGUAGACCGGCGACGACGACCGCCGAGCGCCGCCCGUCCGAGGAGGGGCGCCAUCUUCUGAAAUACAGUAUUUUUAGAAUGUCAAAUUAAUAUGCAAUUUGUAUCAUCCACCCACAUGCUGUAUAUAUUGAUUUGUUGUACAACACUGUAAUUGUACACCGAUGUUUGUAGACUAAAACAUGAAUGUCAGUAACAUACAGUGUAUAUACUUACUAUAAUGAAUGACAACGCACCUUAGAUUGAGAUUAUGUGUCUGUUCAUUGACGGCACACAGGUUGGCAUUUUGGAGUAAUAUCCAGUUGGCUGAUCCAGCAGAAUCAUACAAUACAAUGAAGGGUCAAGUAAAAUGUUUUUUUGAAGAAAGGGCAUCAAAGUGAACAAGAUAGGAUACUGUGUAAUGGAUAUAAUGUUUAAGGGACAAGUGGAGGUGUUUAUCCUUGCUACUGUAACUGCAUUUGGGAUAGGUACUGUACAUAGCAUGCCAGAACAAUAAAGAUUAAAAAA
RNAcentral lists this long non-coding RNA (2860 nucleotides) under Salmo salar (Atlantic salmon). RNAcentral's name for it is "lncRNA (ENSSSAG00000115351.1)". Lineage: Eukaryota; Metazoa; Chordata; Actinopteri; Salmoniformes; Salmonidae. The record is from RNAcentral.